GAUGAACGCUGGCGGCGUGCCUAAUACAUGCAAGUCGAGCGAACAGACGAGGAGCUUGCUCCUCUGACGUUAGCUGCGGACGGGUGAGUAACACGUGGAUAACCUACCUAUAAGACUGGGAUAACUUCGGGAAACCGGAGCUAAUACCGGAUAAUAUAUUGAACCGCAUGGUUCAAUAGUGAAAGACGGUUUUGCUGUCACUUAUAGAUGGAUCCGCGCCGCACUAGCUAGUUGGUAAGGUAACGGCUUACCAAGGCAACGAUGCGUAGCCGACCUGAGAGGGUGAUCGGCCACACUGGAACUGAGACACGGUCCAGACUCCUACGGGAGGCAGCAGUAGGGAAUCUUCCGCAAUGGGCGAAAGCCUGACGGAGCAACGCCGCGUGAGUGAUGAAGGUCUUCGGAUCGUAAAACUCUGUUAUUAGGGAAGAACAAAUGUGUAAGUAACUGUGCACAUCUUGACGGUACCUAAUCAGAAAGCCACGGCUAACUACGUG
This 497-nucleotide ribosomal RNA is filed under the name uncultured bacterium. RNAcentral's name for it is "partial 16S ribosomal RNA". It matches the Rfam family "Bacterial small subunit ribosomal RNA", at positions 28 to 507 of the family's 1533-position model. The record is from RNAcentral.